UACGGGGGGAGCAAGCGUUGUUCGGAUUUACUGGGCGUAAAGGGCGCGUAGGCGGCCUUCUAAGUCAGACGUGAAAUCCCCCGGCUUAACCUGGGAACUGCGUCUGAUACUGGGAGGCUUGAGUAUGGGAGAGGGAUGUAGAAUUCCAGGUGUAGCGGUGAAAUGCGUAGAUAUGCGGAGGAACACCGAUGGCGAAGGCAAUCCCCUGGGCCUGCACUGACGCUCAUGCACGAAAGCGUGGGGAGCAAACAGG
This 253-nucleotide ribosomal RNA is filed under the name uncultured bacterium. Its description in RNAcentral is "partial 16S ribosomal RNA". It matches the Rfam family "Bacterial small subunit ribosomal RNA", at positions 524 to 776 of the family's 1533-position model. The record is from RNAcentral.